AAUCACUGAUAUAGUUGUUUAUUUUUUUCUUUACGGGAAGCCUUCAGACAAGCUCAGCAUACUUUUAAUCUCAGAAACGGACAAAACUGGCACCACCAAUCCCUACCAUCAUGCCGGCUCUUCUGGAGAGGCCCAAGCUGUCUAAUGCCAUGGCACGUGCCUUACACAAGCACAUCAUGAGAGAGAGGGAGCGCAAGAGGCAAGAGGAGGAAGAGGUUGA
Danio aesculapii is the source of this 220-nucleotide long non-coding RNA. RefSeq lists it as uncharacterized. Lineage: Eukaryota; Metazoa; Chordata; Actinopteri; Cypriniformes; Danionidae. The transcript has 3 exons. The record is from RefSeq and is a predicted model, not a curated record.